CCUGGCGACACUGGCGGGCGGGUACCACCCGAUCCCAUCCCGAACUCGGAAGUGAAACUGCUCAGCGCCGAUGAUAGUUUGGGGUUUCCCCAUGCGAAAGUAGGUCAUCGCCAGGC
Molecule: ribosomal RNA, 116 nt
Filed under: Gammaproteobacteria bacterium
Lineage: Bacteria; Pseudomonadati; Pseudomonadota; Gammaproteobacteria
Source: RNAcentral